RNAcentral lists this ribosomal RNA (415 nucleotides) under uncultured prokaryote. Its description in RNAcentral is "bacterial SSU rRNA". It matches the Rfam family "Bacterial small subunit ribosomal RNA", at positions 355 to 774 of the family's 1533-position model. The record is from RNAcentral.
UGAGGAAUUUUGCGCAAUGGGGGGAACCCUGACGCAGCAACGCCGCGUGGGUGAUGAAGGCCUUCGGGUCGUAAAGCCCUGUCGGGCGGGAAGAACGUCCCUUCGGGGAAUGACGGUACCGCCAGAGGAAGCACCGGCUACCUCCGUGCCAGCAGCCGCGGUAAUACGGAGGGUGCAAGCGUUAUGCGGAAUUACGGGGCGUAAAGGGCGUGCAGGCGGGAGAGCAAGUCUGAUGUGAAAGCCCGGGGCUUAACCCCGGAAGGGCAUUGGAAACUGCGUUUCUUGAGUUCGGGAGAGGAAGGGAGAAUUCCCGGUGUAGAGGUGAAAUUCGUAGAGAUCGGGAGGAACAUCAGUGGCGAAGGCGCCCUUCUGGACAGCAACUGACGCUGAGACGCGAAAGCGUGGGGAGCAAACA